This 460-nucleotide ribosomal RNA is filed under the name uncultured bacterium. RNAcentral describes it as "partial 16S ribosomal RNA". It matches the Rfam family "Bacterial small subunit ribosomal RNA", at positions 338 to 795 of the family's 1533-position model. The record is from RNAcentral.
CCUACGGGAGGCAGCAGUGAGGAAUAUUGGUCAAUGGGCGGAAGCCUGAACCAGCCAAGUCGCGUGAGGGAUUAAGGCCCUGCGGGUCGUAAACCUCUUUUGCCGGGGAGCAGAGGUCCGGACGUGUCCGGGCCGGGAGAGUACCCGGAGACAAAGCAUCGGCUAACUCCGUGCCAGCAGCCGCGGUAAUACGGAGGAUGCGAGCGUUAUCCGGAUGUAUCGGGGUAAAAGGGUGCGUAGGCGGGCAUUUAAGCCGGCGGUCAACUGUCGGGGCUAAACCCCGGCCGGCGGUCGGAACUGGGAGCGUGGAGUGAGCGAGAGGGAAGCGGAAUGCGUGGUGUAGCAGUGAAAUGCGUAGAUAUCACGCAGAACACCGAUUGCGAAGGCAGCAUACCGGAGCCCAACUGACGCUGAGGCACGAAAGUGCGGGUAUCGAACGGGAUUAGAUACCCCAGUAGUC